CCAAAACGUAAUGCUCGCCUACAUAAAAUGUCUGUGAGGCGAGCGCUCAAUCUUCGAUGAUGUGUUUGUUUGAUAGAUAGGCUAUUUUAGUUAAAAUAAUUUGAAAAAUACGUCCCGUCAAGUGCGACUCGCACACCGAGGGCUCCGUAUGAUUCGCUGUACAAAUAAGUAUGUCGUCUUGCCUAUGUGUCUGGUCUAUAAAAAAAAAUACGUCAAAGUCAAUGUCAUCAUAUUUUAUAAAAAUAAAUGUGAGCAGCAAAGCAAAGGAUGAAGGAAAGUGUCGAUUGGAUAUCGAUAGUAGAAGUCGAGGUUGUCUUCCUAGUGAACAGAAAAAUUGUGUUUCGGAAAAUGUAACCUUUCGGAAAUAUUUCUUCCCAAGAGAAAUGUAUUGUUACAGCAUUUUUAACAAAGGAACUGAUUCGUAAAAUUGUGUUUUUUAUAUCACAAAGUUUGCAAAGUUAACUUGUGUCAAAGUUCCGAAUAGCACUUGUAAAAAUAUUAGUGUUUUUGCAUCAAGAAAAUUGCAAACCUGCUAUGUAUUGUGCUAGUUAUAUAAUUGUGUGUAUAUAUUAAAACAAUAAAGUGUAUCACGUAAACAUUUUUAGCAGGUCGAAUAAAAAAGAAUGGUUUUUGUGAUGUUUUGAUUUGUGCAUAUGAAGAAUUACUUACCUACCAACAAAAUCAAUUUUAAUUAGGUUAUGUUUUAAUUAGGUAUAAACGCUAAAUUAAUAAUUUUACACUAUGUUUUUGUUCAUCAGAUGCCCCUACCUAUGGUAUUUUCAUCAACACAAGAGGGAAUUCGAAGCUGUUUAUUUACCAAAAUCAUACAUUUAGAUUCAUGUACAAGAAAGCUUAUGGUAGCCAACUAUGGUAUUGUUGGUAUUUCUUCAGUCGAUGCUGUCCGGCAAAAUUAAGAAUAAACAACAAUGGGAAGGUUACGGAAAGCAUCGGAAGACACAACCAUGAUCCACCAACAUGCUGGAUGACCCCAGAUGGAAAGUCAUACAGUCUCCCUCCAAUACCGGACAAGACUACACCCUAACAUGACAGUGUAACUAACGAUUAAAAGUAUUUUGAAACUUUUUGUGUUUCACUGCCCUUAAUCUUGUUGUGAAUGUAAUAACUGCUUCCUACUUUGCGAAUUUGCUUGCAAAAAGUGGAACUGUUUUUGUACUAUUUAAAGUAUAACUAGAUUAGAGACCUGUUUUGACAUCAGGACAGAACGAUACAUUUAAAGUUACAGUCAGUUCUUAAAAAUGUACAUAAUUGUCAAAAUAAGAUCUCGAGGAUUAUGAAAUGUGAAUAAAAAUAUUAGUGUUAAAAUCUACUUUGUGUAUUUUAAAGUUUUGAUAUUAAGAUUUGUCAUCUUUGUUGCUAAUUUUGUAUAAUUUUAUUUAUGAUUAGUCAUUUUUGUUUACAAAUGUUUGAACAAAACAAGGCAACUGUACUGCCAUAUACAAAUUUCAUCAAAGAUUUAACUUACCUAUACCUGAUGUAAGUUUAUAUAUUGGCAGCAUUGCUUUUGUUCAUAUAGAGCCAUGUUUAAAGCACUCAUUCAAACAGAAAAAAAAGAAAAUUUAUGUUAUCAUUCCUAUAUUUUGUAUUUUAUUUCCUUUGUUUUGAAGAUUUAAAAAUGUAUACUUCCAAAAUAUUAUUAAUGUUAAUCUAUUCUUAAAUUAGUUAAAAAAAAUGUUAUUGAAUAUAUUGCAUUUUCGUUUUAUAUUUGUUGUCAGACUUCAGUAUUUUACUGAUUUUGUAUGUUGAUUUUAUGGUAUUUUUAUUUAUUUUGCCAAUAUUCAUCUUUAUAAUACAAUAAAUGUCUACUACCACUAGAGAUUUUAAACGUAGAUAGAUGUAUGUGUGUAUCGGUAUAAUAUCUACCUAGUGCAUUUAAAAUACAGUACGUUUUGUGUUUUUAAUCUACUACCAUUACUACUAACAACCUCUGUAUUUUUAAAUACCUUAUUUUACUACUAUACCAGAUUUCCGCGAAAUCUUAUAUGUAUUACUUUUUUUUUAUAACAUCUGUGGUCUCUGUCAGGGUUUUUUUGCUAUGUUACGUAUGUAUCAUGUAUAGUUUGAUUGUUUUUAUCUUAGCGACACUCCCCAUUUACUGUCUAAUUCCAAAUAGUCCUUAGACGAUUAUCAGUGUUUUCGUCCUCUCUCUUACCAGUUGUUUUAAAGAACAACCGGGAAUAAUAGGCGAAAGGUUAACUUGUCGCCUACCUCGUUUGAUUUAAAUUCGCACGGUCUUCGGCGUCCUUUAUAACCUUUGACACGCAUCCUCCUUGAUUGUCAGACAUUUUGUCCAAAAACUCCUUUCGCACCCCCGACUGGGGUUGUUUCUGGACUGAUAAUCUACAAACUCAUUGGAUUUGUUUUUGGUCAAAAGUUUUACAGAUUACGUUUGAAAAUCCCCUGUGCAGAUAAUCUUCUAAGAGAUCUUUGGAAUAGAUGAUUUUUUAAAAUCUUAUUAGACCAUAUAAAACUGCAAUUGUCUUCGGUAGGCUACUGCGUUGCUAAGCUUUAAAAUUUAUCAGUGAUAAAUAUUUAUAUACCCCAUUAUUCCUAAAAAAGUUAAAGCAUACUUCAAGCUAAAGUAUGUUAUGUCACUGUCGCAUUUCACAAUAUUUGCCAUUGAUAGAGCGAGAAAACAUAUUUUAGCUUAUAGUAUGCUUUAUCUUUUUAAUGAAUAACAGAACGAAAGUUCCAUUUGAUAUUGUAGUAUACUGUGCCUUAAUGUAUUUAAACCAAAUACGAAUAUAAAUGGACAAAAGCCUUGA
Molecule: long non-coding RNA, 2783 nt
Organism: Plodia interpunctella (Indianmeal moth)
Lineage: Eukaryota; Metazoa; Arthropoda; Insecta; Lepidoptera; Pyralidae
Exons: 2
Source: RefSeq, a predicted model, not a curated record